This is a long non-coding RNA of Dama dama (fallow deer), 1024 nucleotides long. RefSeq lists it as uncharacterized. The record is from RefSeq and is a predicted model, not a curated record. NCBI's taxonomy places the organism in Eukaryota, Metazoa, Chordata, Mammalia, Artiodactyla, Cervidae. The transcript is spliced from 4 exons.
CGCCGGCGGCCGGGGGCGGGGCCGUUGCUCAGAGGAAAGGAUUGGUAUCGGUCAGAGGGGUCUGGUGGAGCGGUCCAGCGGAGCCCGAGGCUCUCUGUCCCAACGACGAUGGGCUCCAGCUCCAGCACCAUUGGCCACAGGAAGGUGUCUGCCAGCACACUCAUCCCUUCCCCUCCCUGAGGUGACAGCAGGCCCAUGUGACAAACAGGUACUGCCAACCCACCACGCACACACUACCUCUUCCAGGCCCAGUCAGAGAGGACCCCACUCCCAAGAGGCGCGGCAGCUCUGAGGGGUACCUGGCCAAGGUCCUGCAGCAAGUUGAACCCAGGUCCCCUGAUUCAAGUUCCUGGACUCUGCCAGCUGCACCCCAUCCAGCUCAGGGUCAAGUGCGGUGGGAGGGCAAGAGGUUGUACUCAGUCAAGGUCACAGCUCUCCAAGCCCUCAGCACAUUGUUAAGGAAGGUCGUUCUGAGUGCCCUCAGAUCAGGGAAGUGCCCCUCCUCUCGGGGAGGAGAGUGGAGCAUGCAGCUGCCCCAAUUUUCAAGAGCAGUGCCCUUGAGCUGGGGUUUCAAGAGGAUUGCUACUAAGCAGUAGUACUAAGCAGUACUGUGUGCUGCCUGUCUGAGCACAGGGUCGAGGGCACUCCUGGGCUUGGUCUCAUUUAAUCCUCACAUUGGACAAUGGAGACAGAUUAAUUUUUCCCUACUUUAAAGAUGAGGAAACUGAUGUUCAGAAAGCUGGUUGGCAGAGAUCUUAUGGCUUGGAAGGGGCAGAAUAAGAACUGAGCCUAUGCUUCUGCCUCCACCCCUGUACCAGGCAGGAGUUAACAAUAACAAACCUAUAAUAAAUAACAUCAUUGUUCACACUGACUUGUUGGGCACCUACUAUGUGCGGGCGUGUUACCCUCUUGAUCUCACAGAAUCUUCAGACACACCUCCAAGUGGGGGAUUCUUAUCUACAGCUGGGGGUCACAGAGCCAGAGCCAGAACUCAGGCUGCCUCCCUGUCCCCAGCCAUGCCCUG